This 460-nucleotide ribosomal RNA is filed under the name uncultured bacterium. Its description in RNAcentral is "partial 16S ribosomal RNA". It matches the Rfam family "Bacterial small subunit ribosomal RNA", at positions 338 to 795 of the family's 1533-position model. The record is from RNAcentral.
CCUACGGGAGGCAGCAGUGAGGAAUAUUGGUCAAUGGACGAGAGUCUGAACCAGCCAAGUAGCGUGAAGGAUGACUGCCCUAUGGGUUGUAAACUUCUUUUAUAUGGGAAUAAAAUGUUCCACGUGUGGGAUUUUGUAUGUACCAUAUGAAUAAGGAUCGGCUAACUCCGUGCCAGCAGCCGCGGUAAUCCGGAGGAUCCGAGCGUUAUCCGGAUUUAUUGGGUUUAAAGGGAGCGUAGGUGGAUUGUUAAGUCAGUUGUGAAAGUUUGCGGCUCAACCGUAAAAUUGCAGUUGAAACUGGCAGUCUUGAGUACAGUAGAGGUGGGCGGAAUUCGUGGUGUAGCGGUGAAAGGCUUAGAUAUCACGAAGAACUCCGAUUGCGAAGGCAGCUCACUGGACUGCAACUGACACUGAGGCUCGAAAGUGUGGGUAUCAAACAGGAUUAGAUACCCUUGUAGUC